Molecule: long non-coding RNA, 415 nt
Filed under: Salvator merianae (Argentine black and white tegu)
Lineage: Eukaryota; Metazoa; Chordata; Lepidosauria; Squamata; Teiidae
Description: lncRNA (ENSSMRG00000008962.1)
Source: RNAcentral
GAUUUCGGAGGAUCAACCGUGAGUCUGGUUCUUCUUCCUCGUCUCAAAUGAUUGGCCAUGGCAUGGCUUUCAAAGAUGUCAUCUUUAAUGGACUGGAAAGUGGAGGAGCUUCAAGGAAGCGACAACCAGGAGCAUCUUCGUGGCUAUUGCUAUCUCUCAUCUCAUGUGCAGGCUGAAAAAGAAACCACAACACUCUUCUGCGACACACGAUUUCCUCCUGUGACUGCAGCACUGCAUGAGAUCCGUGUGAUGGAAGGGUCUCAGGUAGCCUUCUCCAAGCCAUCAAAUGGGGCAUCUUUGGCUGGCACAGGCUGAAGGCUAAGAGAAGUUUGCCACACAGUGUCUUGGAGUGCCACUGCAAUAUGCACUUGGGCUCCGAAGAAGCCGGAAGUUCCUUUUUCCCCCAAAUGACAAG